AAUGAGCCGCUAGGCACCCGGACGAGGUGCGCCGUACCCGGCCAGCGACAAGACGGCGCCAU
Regulatory RNA element from Arthrobacter sp. ERGS1:01, 62 nucleotides. The record is from Rfam. Lineage: Bacteria; Bacillati; Actinomycetota; Actinomycetes; Micrococcales; Micrococcaceae.